UACGUAGGGGGCGAGCGUUGUCCGGAAUUACUGGGCGUAAAGAGCGCGUAGGCGGUGCGUUAAGUCGGCUGUGAAAUCUCCCGGCUCAACUGGGAGGGGACGGCCGAGACUGGCGGGCUUGAGGGUGGCAGAGGGAGGCGGAAUUCCCGGAGUAGUGGUGAAAUGCGUAGAUACCGGGAGGAACACCAGUGGCGAAGGCGGCCUCCUGGGCUUCUCCUGACGCUGAGGCGCGAGAGCGUGGGGAGCGAACCGG
Molecule: ribosomal RNA, 253 nt
Filed under: uncultured bacterium
Lineage: Bacteria
Description: partial 16S ribosomal RNA
Rfam family: Bacterial small subunit ribosomal RNA
Source: RNAcentral